Molecule: ribosomal RNA, 253 nt
Filed under: uncultured bacterium
Lineage: Bacteria
Description: partial 16S ribosomal RNA
Rfam family: Bacterial small subunit ribosomal RNA
Source: RNAcentral
UACGUAGGGUGCGAGCGUUGUUCGGAUUCACUGGGCGUAAAGGGUGCGUAGGCGGUCGGGUAAGUCUGACGUGAAAUCUUCAAGCUCAACUUGGAAACUGCGUCGGAUACUAUUCGGCUAGAGGAAUGGAGGGGAGACUGGAAUACUUGGUGUAGCAGUGAAAUGCGUAGAUAUCAAGUGGAACACCAGUGGCGAAGGCGAGUCUCUGGACAUUUCCUGACGCUGAGGCACGAAAGCCAGGGGAGCAAACGGG